UUCUAAAUGUAAACCGGUACAGCCCUACCAGAGCACUAUGAAUCUUUACAUUUAAAACUCAAAGGACUUGGCGGUGCUUUAGACUUCUCAGGGGAACCUGUUUCGUAAUCGACAGUCCACGUAAAACCUUUCCUUCUUUUGUUCUCAGUAUGUAUACCGUCGUCGUCAGGUAACUUUUAAAAAUAUUAGAAGUUAGCAACAAAGUUAACCUAAACUUUUACGUCAGAUCAAGGUGCAGCCCAUAAGAAGGUGAGAAUGGGUUACAAUUAAAAGUUAUAAUUACGAAGAGAGAAUGAAAUUUUAACCCGAAGGAGGACUUGAAAGUAAGAAAACUUAUAUAAAUUUUCUGAAUUCAGCUCUGAAGCGUGC
Molecule: ribosomal RNA, 369 nt
Filed under: Melanopsis cariosa
Lineage: Eukaryota; Metazoa; Mollusca; Gastropoda; Melanopsidae
Description: partial small subunit ribosomal RNA
Source: RNAcentral